AGAGUUUGAUCAUGGCUCAGAUUGAACGCUGGCGGCAGGCCUAACACAUGCAAGUCGAGCGGUAACAGGGAGUAGCUUGCUACUCCGCUGACGAGCGGCGGACGGGUGAGUAAUGUCUGGGGAUCUGCCUGAUGGAGGGGGAUAACUACUGGAAACGGUAGCUAAUACCGCAUAACGUCGCAAGACCAAAGAGGGGGACCUUCGGGCCUCUUGCCAUCGGAUGAACCCAGAUGGGAUUAGCUAGUAGGUGGGGUAAUGGCUCACCUAGGCGACGAUCCCUAGCUGGUCUGAGAGGAUGACCAGCCACACUGGAACUGAGACACGGUCCAGACUCCUACGGGAGGCAGCAGUGGGGAAUAUUGCACAAUGGGCGCAAGCCUGAUGCAGCCAUGCCGCGUGUGUGAAGAAGGCCUUCGGGUUGUAAAGCACUUUCAGCGAGGAGGAAGGCAUUAAGGUUAAUAACCUUGGUGAUUGACGUUACUCGCAGAAGAAGCACCGGCUAACUCCGUGCCAGCCGCCGCGGUAAUUCA
RNAcentral lists this ribosomal RNA (530 nucleotides) under uncultured bacterium. Its description in RNAcentral is "bacterial SSU rRNA". It matches the Rfam family "Bacterial small subunit ribosomal RNA", at positions 8 to 527 of the family's 1533-position model. The record is from RNAcentral.